UGAGGAAUAUUGGUCAAUGGGCGGGAGCCUGAACCAGCCAAGUAGCGUGCAGGAUGACGGCCCUAUGGGUUGUAAACUGCUUUUGCGCGGGGAUAAAGUGCGCCACGUGUGGCUCAUUGCAGGUACCGCGCGAAUAAGGACCGGCUAAUUCCGUGCCAGCAGCCGCGGUAAUACGGAAGGUCCGGGCGUUAUCCGGAUUUAUUGGGUUUAAAGGGAGCGUAGGCCGGAGAUUAAGCGUGUUGUGAAAUGUAGUGGCUCAACCUCUGCACUGCAGCGCGAACUGGUCUUCUUGAGUACGCACAACGUGGGCGGAAUUCGUGGUGUAGCGGUGAAAUGCUUAGAUAUCACGAAGAACUCCGAUUGCGAAGGCAGCUCACGGGAGCGCAACUGACGCUGAAGCUCGAAAGUGCGGGUAUCGAGCAGGAUUAGAUACCCUGGUAGU
Molecule: ribosomal RNA, 442 nt
Filed under: uncultured Prevotella sp.
Lineage: Bacteria; Pseudomonadati; Bacteroidota; Bacteroidia; Bacteroidales; Prevotellaceae
Description: bacterial SSU rRNA
Rfam family: Bacterial small subunit ribosomal RNA
Source: RNAcentral